Long non-coding RNA from Pogonomyrmex barbatus (red harvester ant), 559 nucleotides. Lineage: Eukaryota; Metazoa; Arthropoda; Insecta; Hymenoptera; Formicidae. The record is from RefSeq and is a predicted model, not a curated record.
UAAAUAUGAAACAUUUUUUUCUAGAAUUUUAAGUUUAGAUUACAUGGUCAUAGAAUCCAUAUGCAUCAAUAAGUAUACAUCAGUAAAACUGUGUCAUUCAAGAUAUUUGAAUAUUUUUAAAUAUUAAGAGAAUUUACAUAAAGUUUUAAGAGACAAAAGGCAUGACAAUUCGCUUUAACCGAGCGAUGGGGAGAGGGAACUAUUUUAUCGUUCAUAUUACUUGAAGUUAAGCUCUUAUCGCGACAGAAGAUAGUAACGUUAUUUUCCUCUUGCGGACGUCAUAGUCAUCUAAAGAUCAAUUGAUGUCAGACGAUAGUUACUUCGUAACUUUUAACGCGUGCAUUGAUACAUCUCAGAUGUUUAUAAGAAACAGGCGUCGAUGCGGUGCCAUAAAUGCCAGCUACGACGACGAAUGUCAUGCAAACAUCAAGGGGAAAAUCCACCGGAAACAUCAGAUAUACACAGUGGCUGCAUAACCGAAGACGAAGAAAAUAACGCUUAUAUAGCGCGUUGUUCCCUCUAUUUUAUUUUUAAACAGAGGAGUAAAUGCCCUAACUAG